GAUGAAGAACGUAGCGAAAUGCGAUAAGUAAUGCGAAUUGCAGAAUUCAGUGAAUCAUCGAAUCUUUGAACGCACAUUGCGCCCGCCAGUAUUCUGGCGGGCAUGCCUGUCCGAGCGUCAUUUCAACCAUCAAGCCCCCGGGCUUGUGUUGGGGACCUGCGGCUGCCCGCAGGCCCUGAAAACCAGUGGCGGGCUCGCUGUCACACCGAGCGUAGUAGCAAUCACCUCGCUCAGGGCGUGCUGCGGGUUCCGGCCGUUAAACAGCCUUACAAAACCCAAGGUUGACCUCGGAUCAGGUAGGAAGACCCGCUGAACUUAAGCAUAUCAAUAAGCGGAGGA
This 339-nucleotide unclassified non-coding RNA is filed under the name soil metagenome. RNAcentral's name for it is "partial contains 5.8S ribosomal RNA, internal transcribed spacer 2, and large subunit ribosomal RNA". The stretch from base 1 to 120 matches the Rfam family "5.8S ribosomal RNA", at positions 35 to 154 of the family's 154-position model. The record is from RNAcentral.